AGCUGAUGUACGCUUUUCGAUCGUCACCGAUAAACAAGUUGCCGAAGUAAGGAAAAUCUUGUUUCUUCGGCCACCAAAAACAUACACUGUGGUGUAAGAACGUAUACGAAAAAUGGGCGGCGGCAAGGAAUAAUGAGUUCCACGAUUUUGCACAAGAGAGCGAAGAAUUUACUUGUGUAUACCAUGCAAGCAUCGAUGAUGCAUGCGACGUGAAAUAACUCCAGUAUUGGCUGAAGUGUGGGAAGACUAUGAACAAAGUGUUUCGAAUAUUCAGUUUGGGUGCAAUAUUGCAGAG
Non-coding RNA from Paramuricea clavata, 295 nucleotides. The record is from the annotation of a GenBank genome assembly. Lineage: Eukaryota; Metazoa; Cnidaria; Anthozoa; Malacalcyonacea; Plexauridae.